UACGAAGGAUGCAAGCGUUACUCGGAUUUAUUGGGCGUAAAGAAUGCGUAGGCGGAUCUAUAAGUCUUUAGUGAAAUCCCAGGGCUCAACCCUGGAACUGCUAUCGAAACUGUAGAUCUUGGAUGCGGUAGAGAGUGGGAGAAUUCUUGGUGUAGGGGUAAAAUCCGUAGAUAUCAGGAGGAAGACCGGAAGCGAAAGCGCUCACUUAGGCCGUUAUCGACGCUGAGGCAUGAAAGCGUGGGGAGCAAACAGG
RNAcentral lists this ribosomal RNA (253 nucleotides) under uncultured bacterium. RNAcentral describes it as "partial 16S ribosomal RNA". It matches the Rfam family "Bacterial small subunit ribosomal RNA", at positions 524 to 776 of the family's 1533-position model. The record is from RNAcentral.